This 497-nucleotide ribosomal RNA is filed under the name uncultured bacterium. Its description in RNAcentral is "partial 16S ribosomal RNA". It matches the Rfam family "Bacterial small subunit ribosomal RNA", at positions 28 to 507 of the family's 1533-position model. The record is from RNAcentral.
GAUGAACGCUGGCGGCGUGCCUAAUACAUGCAAGUCGAACGAACAGACGAGGAGCUUGCUCCUCUGACGUUAGCGGCGGACGGGUGAGUAACACGUGGAUAACCUACCUAUAAGACUGGGAUAACUUCGGGAAACCAGAGCUAAUACCGGAUAAUAUAUUGAACCGCAUGGUUCAAUAGUGAAAGACGGUUUUGCUGUCACUUAUAGAUGGAUCCGCGCCGCAUUAGCUAGUUGGUAAGGUAACGGCUUACCAAGGCGACGAUGCGUAGCCGACCUGAGAGGGUGAUCGGCCACACUGGAACUGAGACACGGUCCAGACUCCUACGGGAGGCAGCAGUAGGGAAUCUUCCGCAAUGGGCGAAAGCCUGACGGAGCAACGCCGCGUGAGUGAUGAAGGUCUUCGGAUCGUAAAACUCUGUUAUUAGGGAAGAACAGAUGUGUAAGUAACUAUGCACGUCUUGACGGUACCUAAUCAGAAAGCAACGGCUAACUACGUG